RNAcentral lists this ribosomal RNA (497 nucleotides) under uncultured bacterium. Its description in RNAcentral is "partial 16S ribosomal RNA". It matches the Rfam family "Bacterial small subunit ribosomal RNA", at positions 28 to 507 of the family's 1533-position model. The record is from RNAcentral.
GAUGAACGCUGGCGGCGUGCCUAAUACAUGCAAGUCGAGCGAACGGACGAGAAGCUUGCUUCUCUGAUGUUAGCGGCGGACGGGUGAGUAACACGUGGAUAACCUACCUAUAAGACUGGGAUAACUUCGGGAAACCGGAGCUAAUACCGGAUAAUAUUUUGAACCGCAUGGUUCAAAAGUGAAAGACGGUCUUGCUGUCACUUAUAGAUGGAUCCGCGCUGCAUUAGCUAGUUGGUAAGGUAACGGCUUACCAAGGCAACGAUGCAUAGCCGACCUGAGAGGGUGAUCGGCCACACUGGAACUGAGACACGGUCCAGACUCCUACGGGAGGCAGCAGUAGGGAAUCUUCCGCAAAGGGCGAAAGCCUGACGGAGCAACGCCGCGUGAGUGAUGAAGGUCUUCGGAUCGUAAAACUCUGUUAUUAGGGAAGAACAUAUGCGUAAGUAACUGUGCACAUCUUGACGGUACCUAAUCAGAAAGCCACGGCUAACUACGUG